This 586-nucleotide ribosomal RNA is filed under the name uncultured bacterium. RNAcentral describes it as "bacterial SSU rRNA". It matches the Rfam family "Bacterial small subunit ribosomal RNA", at positions 338 to 948 of the family's 1533-position model. The record is from RNAcentral.
CCUACGGGAGGCAGCAGUGGGGAAUCUUGCACAAUGGAGGAAACUCUGAUGCAGCGAUGCCGCGUGAGUGAAGAAGGCCUUUGGGUUGUAAAGCUCUUUUGUAGGGGAAGAUAAUGACUGUACCCUAAGAAUAAGGUCCGGCUAACUUCGUGCCAGCAGCCGCGGUAAUACGAAGGGACCUAGCGUAGUUCGGAAUUACUGGGCGUAAAGCGCGCGUAGGCCGUUGAGUUAGUUAAUUGUGAAAUCCCAAAGCUUAACUUUGGAACUGCAAUUAAAACUGCUCGACUAGAGUUUGAUAGAGGAAAGCGGAAUACAUAGUGUAGAGGUGAAAUUCGUAGAUAUUAUGUAGAACACCAGUUGCGAAGGCGGCUUUCUGGAUCAACACUGACGCUGAGGCGCGAAAGUAUGGGUAGCAAAGAGGAUUAGAUACCCUCGUAGUCCAUACCAUAAACGAUGAUUGCUAGAUGUUGGAAAUUUAUUUUCAGUAUCGCAGCUAACGCAUUAAGCAAUCCGCCUGGGGAGUACGACCGCAAGGUUAAAACUCAAAGGAAUUGACGGCNGAGAGNGCGAGACGACACGAGGAGAG